This 295-nucleotide long non-coding RNA is filed under the name Salvia miltiorrhiza (redroot sage). RNAcentral describes it as "long non-coding RNA (SMIL_LNC002691)". The record is from RNAcentral. Lineage: Eukaryota; Viridiplantae; Streptophyta; Magnoliopsida; Lamiales; Lamiaceae.
ACUCCCUCCGUCCCGCUAAAGUUGGCAACAUUCGUUUCGGCACGGACAUUAAGAAAUUAAGUGUUAUAUGUUGUAAUAGAGUGUGGCCUACAAUUGUUGACCAAAUUAGUGAGUAAUUGUUGACUUAAUUAAAGUAAUUUUGGCAUUUUUAGAAAGUGGCCUAUAAUUGUUGACCAAAUUAGUGAGUAAUUGUUUACUUAAUUAAAGUAAACUUUUGCCAUUUUUAGAAAGUGGCCAACUUUAGUGGGACACCCAAAAUAGAAAUGUUGCCAACUUUAAUGGGACGGAGGGAGUA